This 399-nucleotide non-coding RNA is filed under the name Capsicum annuum. RNAcentral describes it as "Bacterial small subunit ribosomal RNA". It matches the Rfam family "Bacterial small subunit ribosomal RNA", at positions 119 to 537 of the family's 1533-position model. The record is from Rfam by way of RNAcentral. Lineage: Eukaryota; Viridiplantae; Streptophyta; Magnoliopsida; Solanales; Solanaceae.
GUGUUCAUAUUUUCUAAUUAUUUAAAAUAUAUAAUAAAAUUAAAUAGAUCUAAUUCAUUUAUUGCAAUGAAUUACAUUAUUAGAUAUAAUGUUGUCAACUUCUUCCCAUUACCACAAUCUCGAAAAAAGGCUCACAUCUAAUAAGCUAGUUAGUGAGGCAAUAAUUCUUUAAGACGAUGAUUAGUAAUAGGUCUUAGAAGAUGAUCAACUACACAUGUAUUAAGACACGAUCCAGACUCUUACUGGAGGUGAGAAGGAAAAAUAUUUUACAAAGGGGGAAAGCCUAACAGAGCAUUAUUGUAUGGAGGUAGAAGAUACAUGGAUUGUGAAUUCUUUUUCCCAAAGAAGAAGCAAUGAUGAUAUUUGUGUCAACAACUGCGAUAAUACAUAGGAUGCAAC